UUGUGGAGGAGGACGCCGAAGGUGGGGCUAAUGACUGGGGUGAAGUCGUAACAAGGUAGCCGUACCGGAAGGUGCGGCUGGAUCACCUCCUAACAGGAAGACAACAAAAUGUUUAAUAUUAUUAUUUUGUCACCUUAGGUCGAUCGGUAUCUCACGUUUUUAAUUUAUUAAGAAUUUCAUUUCCUAAGUUUUUCUAGGUCACACCCAUUAUUUUUCCUGGGCCAUUAGCUCAGGUGGUUAGAGCGCACCCCUGAUAAGGGUGAGGUCCCUGGUUCAAGUCCAGGAUGGCCCAUAUCUCUAUGUUGGGGGUAUAGCUCAGUUGGUAGAGCGCCUGCUUUGCAAGCAGGAUGUCAGCGGUUCGAGUCCGCUUACCUCCACUGAUUACCACCUCUUCCAUAACCGGUAGAAAGGAAAUGUUUUGAGUUGUGAUCAAAUUCUGAAAGAAUCUAGCUUCCUAAUGAAAUCAUUAAGAUGCUGGACUCAUUGAAUUUAUUUCAUUGAUUUCAGAGAACCUUGACAACUGCAUAGAUUAUUUUUAAAGACAAUAAGCAUCUUUAAUGAUGCAGAUUUAUUAUUUGUGCGAAUGCAUUAAUAACAAUUCUAUUAAGCUGAUGCUUCAAUUUUGAAGUUAUUGGUCAAGCUACAA
RNAcentral lists this unclassified non-coding RNA (646 nucleotides) under uncultured Prochlorococcus sp. RNAcentral describes it as "partial 16S-23S ribosomal RNA intergenic spacer; may also contain 16S ribosomal RNA and 23S ribosomal RNA". The stretch from base 305 to 377 matches the Rfam family "tRNA". The record is from RNAcentral. Lineage: Bacteria; Bacillati; Cyanobacteriota; Cyanophyceae; Synechococcales; Prochlorococcaceae.